Molecule: long non-coding RNA, 230 nt
Organism: Sinocyclocheilus rhinocerous
Lineage: Eukaryota; Metazoa; Chordata; Actinopteri; Cypriniformes; Cyprinidae
Exons: 3
Source: RefSeq, a predicted model, not a curated record
GUGUGUGUGCGUGUGUGUGUGACCGUGUGUGUGUGUGUGCGCGCGUUACUCGCGCUCUCUCUUUCCUUAUGCGUGUAUGUGCACACAUCUUCGUACCUCCACUCCAAACUUAAUCCAGGAAAGGUGAACAUUCCUGCAUCAUAACUUGGACUGAAAGAUGAAUGUGUAGAAAGCGAGCAUGUCUUAAAAAACCUUGAGCUGCAGGUUUAAUGACUGCAUUCUUUAUUAAU